CGUCCGUAGCCUGUUUGGUAAAUCUGUGGGUAAAUCAACGAGCUUAACUCGUUGAAUUCUGCAGAGACUGCCAGACUAGGGACCGGGAGAGGUAUGAGGUACUCUGGGGGUAGGGGUAAAAUCCUGUCAUCCUCAGAGGACCACCUGUUGCGAAGGCGUCAUACUGGAACGGAUCCGACGGUCAGGGACGAAGCCUAGGGGCACGAACCGGAUUAGAUACCCGGGUAGUCCUAGGUGUAAACGCUGUGGAUUUGGUGUGUGGGGUCCGCAAUGGGCCCCAUGUGCCGGAGUGAAGAUGUUUAAAUCCACUGCCUGGGGAGUACGGUCGCAAGGCUGAAACUCAAAGGAAUGACGGAUCACUA
Molecule: ribosomal RNA, 362 nt
Filed under: uncultured marine euryarchaeote
Lineage: Archaea; Methanobacteriati; Methanobacteriota
Description: bacterial SSU rRNA
Rfam family: Archaeal small subunit ribosomal RNA
Source: RNAcentral